Small nuclear RNA from Trichosurus vulpecula (common brushtail), 102 nucleotides. The record is from RefSeq and is a predicted model, not a curated record. NCBI's taxonomy places the organism in Eukaryota, Metazoa, Chordata, Mammalia, Diprotodontia, Phalangeridae.
GUGCUCCUUUUGGCAGCAUGUAUAUUAAAAUUAGAAUGAGAUAGAGAAGAUUAGCCUCUGAGCAAGAAUGACAAGCAAAUUCAUGAAGCAUUCCAUAUUUUU